Molecule: ribosomal RNA, 267 nt
Filed under: uncultured bacterium
Lineage: Bacteria
Description: partial 16S ribosomal RNA
Rfam family: Bacterial small subunit ribosomal RNA
Source: RNAcentral
GUCCUAGCUGUAAACGGUGCAUAUUUGCUGUAAAAGGAAUCGACCCCUUUUGUGGCGAAGCAAACGCGUUAAAUAUGCCGCCUGGGAAGUACGGUCGCAAGAUUAAAACUCAAAGAAAUUGACGGGGGCCUGCACAAGCGGUGGAGUAUGUGGCUUAAUUCGAUGCAACGCGAAGAACCUUACCUGGCCUUGACAUGCACAUAGUAGAAGCCUGAAAGGGUGACGAGGUAGCAAUACCAGUGUGCACAGGUGCUGCAUGGCUGUCGU